This 468-nucleotide ribosomal RNA is filed under the name uncultured bacterium. Its description in RNAcentral is "partial 16S ribosomal RNA". It matches the Rfam family "Bacterial small subunit ribosomal RNA", at positions 28 to 507 of the family's 1533-position model. The record is from RNAcentral.
GACGAACGCUGGCGGCGUGCUUAACACAUGCAAGUCGAACGGAAAGGCCCUGCUUUUGUGGGGUGCUCGAGUGGCGAACGGGUGAGUAACACGUGAGUAACCUGCCCUUGACUUUGGGAUAACUUCAGGAAACUGGGGCUAAUACCGGAUAGGAGCUCCUGCUGCAUGGUGGGGGUUGGAAAGUUUCGGCGGUUGGGGAUGGACUCGCGGCUUAUCAGCUUGUUGGUGGGGUAGUGGCUUACCAAGGCUUUGACGGGUAGCCGGCCUGAGAGGGUGACCGGCCACAUUGGGACUGAGAUACUGCCCAGACUCCAACGGGAGGCAGCAGUGGGGAAUAUUGCGCAAUGGGCGGAAGCCUGAUGCAGCAACGCCGCGUGCGGGAUGACGGCCUUCGGGUUGUAAACCGCUUUCGCCUGUGACGAAGCGUGAGUGACGGUAAUGGGUAAAGAAGCACCGGCUAACUACGUG